CACAUUUUAUUGAUGAACACCAAGCAAAGUUCACAUUGUCAAAGAGUUUUAAGUUUUAAUAGAUGCAAAAUGUUAUUCUCAAGGAGCUUGCAGAAAUAAAAGUUCUUUUAAAAGAAGUUAUAGAAAUUAAGUUUCAGGCUACUGGGGUGAAGUUGCUAGAAUCGGUGGACGAAGUGGUUACACUGGAUAAUAAACUAUAAGAUAAAACCGAGUAUACUAAUUUGCUUGAUAGUUUGAAAAAGAUUGGUGGAG
Hydra vulgaris (swiftwater hydra) is the source of this 252-nucleotide long non-coding RNA. RefSeq lists it as uncharacterized. NCBI's taxonomy places the organism in Eukaryota, Metazoa, Cnidaria, Hydrozoa, Anthoathecata, Hydridae. The record is from RefSeq and is a predicted model, not a curated record.